UACGUAGGUGGCAAGCGUUGUCCGGAAUUAUUGGGCGUAAAGCGCGCGCAGGCGGUCCUUUAAGUCUGAUGUGAAAGCCCACGGCUCAACCGUGGAGGGUCAUUGGAAACUGGGGACUUGAGUACAGAAGAGAAGAGUGGAAUUCCUGGUGUAGCGGUGAAAUGCGCAGAUAUCAGGAAGAACACCUAUGGCGAAGGCAGCUCUCUGGGACGGUACUGACGCUGAGACGCGAAAGCGUGGGGAGCGAACAGG
This 252-nucleotide ribosomal RNA is filed under the name uncultured bacterium. Its description in RNAcentral is "partial 16S ribosomal RNA". It matches the Rfam family "Bacterial small subunit ribosomal RNA", at positions 524 to 776 of the family's 1533-position model. The record is from RNAcentral.